Molecule: ribosomal RNA, 289 nt
Filed under: uncultured bacterium
Lineage: Bacteria
Description: partial 16S ribosomal RNA
Rfam family: Bacterial small subunit ribosomal RNA
Source: RNAcentral
GUGGAUUAGCUACCCUGGUAGUCCACGCCGUAAACGAUGUCGACGAGCCGUUGGAGACCUUAGAGUCUUUAGUGGCGCAGCUAACGCACUAAGUCGACCGCCUGGGGAGUACGGCCGCAAGGUUAAAACUCAAAUGAAUUGACGGGGGCCCGCACAAGCGGUGGAGCAUGUGGUUUAAUUCGAUGCAACGCGAAGAACCUUACCACCCCUUGACAUGCCAGGAACUUUCCAGAGAUGGAUUGGUGCCUUCGGGAGCCUGGACACAGGUGCUGCAUGGUCGUCGUCAGCU